This is a long non-coding RNA of Gallus gallus (chicken), 3363 nucleotides long. RefSeq lists it as uncharacterized. NCBI's taxonomy places the organism in Eukaryota, Metazoa, Chordata, Aves, Galliformes, Phasianidae. The transcript has 2 exons. The record is from RefSeq and is a predicted model, not a curated record.
GUAAAAAAUGUCAGAAUUCAGGUUAUCUGUGCAAGCUAAGGUCAUUUCUCUUGUGAAAGAGGAUUAAUCCUCUCAUUGCAUGUCCUCUGGAGAUUUUUCCACAGGUCCUCUGCCUUACAGAUUUUCCAUUUGCUUUUUUUUAAAUAGAAGCUCCUGAGUUCUUCCUGAUUUCUGAAGACACCAAGUGAGCUGGAAGUCACCAGCGUGCUCUCAACAUCAUCCUGUUGGGUCAUCACCAAGCAGGCAAGCUGUCAAAAUGAAGAUUGGCCAACUUCACUUAUGGGGAUUUAGCACAGUUUUCCAGAGUGGUUGCUGGAAGGUUUCACAUGACCUGACCCUCCCAAAGCCUCCCUGAGUGAACAGAGGAAAAGACAAGUCCUUCUGUGGAGCAUUUCAGAGCCAGAGCCUACCACAGCAGCAUCGAAACGUUCUUGCAAAUCAUUUCCCUCUCUUUCAGCUUUGCGAAGGGCCCAUGGAUGCUGCAGGCUACUAGGAGCCUGUGUGAAUCCUUCCAUCAGUCUGCUGUCCCACGCACUGUUGGUACUUGUAUGCACGUUACUAUGAAAGUCAAUCACACUUUUAUGACUGAUGUUUAAGACAUGAAGCCAUAAAAUUCUUCAUGCAGUUAGUAAGUUUAAAUGAAUUAUUUAGGUUGUUUCCUCCCACACACCCCUCCCCAUUAACUUACUCCUGAGGGAAAUGUAUUUAUGGAGCCAUGUGCUUCUCACAUGGUUGAAGCUAAAAAUAAGCUUAAAAAAAUCAUUCUGGAUAAAAUUUAAUUUGAAAUCCAGUUCAGCAGCCUAACACAGGCUAUCACUGGUUUCUUAAGACUGGUUUCUCUGUUUGUAACGAUAACCUUGACCAGUCUUUUGAGUGCUGAUUGCUUCUGGAUUUCUCAUACUCUCAUUUUGUUAUAUACAUGUGGAUACAUUUUGUGUGUGUGUGUUCUGAGGCUUUUUUGGGGGGUUGGUUUGGUUUUGUUUGAUAGUGUUGGAGUGUAGAGAGGCUUAUCAGACACUGAAAACCAUGAACUGUUUUUCCCACGAUCUUUUAGUCAAUGAUCAACAGAUCGGAUGCUUCAAAAGGUCUGAACCCUUAUGGGUCACAUCCUUCUUCCAUGUAAUUCCGUAUGAGUAUUGUCACUUGUUUUAAAGAAGCCAAACUUCAGCCCAUAAUGGACAAUUAUGCAACCCUUGGAUGAAAGGGAUGUUUUCUCCUUGCCCUAGAUAAUUAAGUAAAAUGAGGAUCCUUCCAUUCCCAUCACUAGUUUAUUUUUUUAAUUAGUCUUGAGAUGACUGCAUCCUGAGCUCCAAGUACCGACAUCAUUGAGAAGGGAGAUUUCAGCAUAAUUUUUUCUCUGUACAUCACAGCCUUUUCGCCUGAGCACUCUUCCACAGACAGCUCUCAGCUGUUCUCAGUGGGACCCAGGCUGGUAGAGUUCCCUUAGUGCAGGGCAACACACAGGCUUACUUUGCUAUGUCAUUUCUCCUACAUUCUUCUAUCUGCAUUCCGUCACUGCUGCAUUCUCUGUUUGGAAGGGAAUUUGCUCUCAUUUUCCUUUCACUUUUAGUUGUAUUGGUUUUAUUUUAUCUGCCAAAUUUAACACAUCGCUUCUCAGCUUCUUCCCAAGUAGUGAAUAGGUGUGGCACCCCAGAGCCUUGCUCCAUACUGAAGUCUAAUUGAUGUAUGUGCAAGUGUGUGCAUUAUCCUGAUGGUUCUGGAUUGUUACUUUUUAAGCAGUUUUCGGCCGUUGGUAAAAUGUUGUUCUUUCUACCAUGCUUAGUUCAUAAAUAAUCGCCAGUGAGAGUUCUUCUGCAAGGCUGUGUCUGCAAGGCUUUGUCUGUUAUUCUGCUGAAACAGCUGAAGAAUGCCAGUGGACCGCAGAGGUAUCCUAUCUCUUGUCAUGUUAUGCUUCAAGUGCUCUAUUUCCUUAGCGACCAAAUCAAUUAUUUUACUUGGUAAUGACAUCUGCAAUAAGUAGAUGUCAUUAGAUAUGGAACCGCCGCACUCUGGGAAGCAGAACUGUUUGUAGUCCAGCUGCUUCCAAGAGUAUCGCCAUCAGUUUGUUAAAGGCAGAAUCACAGCCGCUGUGCUUAAUUGUAAAGACCACUGCAAGAAUGCGACAUAGCAGAACAAUUUAAACAUCUACAUAAUGAUUUUUUUUUUCCCACGAUCCUAAAUGCUUUCUACUUCAAAUUAACUUAUUAGGCAACUAAUAAGGCAACUAAUAAUUAGGCAACUGUAUAACACAGGUGAAUUUGUUUGGGAUUCCUGAGGGUUUCAGGUUCAGUACCUUUAGCCAUUACUACCAUUUGGGUCAUCCAACACACCAGCGAUCUGCGGCAUUUGGUUCCACACGCGUCCAGUUCAUCUCUCCAGAUCUGAUCUCUCCAAUCACACCUGUACCAGCAGCCUGGGAUGACCCAGACUUACAGCCCUCUUAUGUCCUGUGCCUGCUUUGUGCCUAGAAUUCCUGUUCCAAUUAAAGGUACGACUGAAACAGUUAAAUCAAUGAAAGCCCUAAAGAAGGUGAGAUUGUCAGCAAAAGGGGCUCCAUACCAGCACUGCUUGCUCCUGCAAAUCAGAACGUGUGUGUGUGGUGUGCAUGGUCUCUACCGGCAGAGAGGGUGCACCGCUUCCAAACCAGAACAGUUGAUGUGACACAAAGCCACGCGUCCUUUAGCCUCAGAAAUCCAACUUAAAGUAUUUGGGUAAACGCAUACUACAAAGUAAUGUUUAACCCAGAAUUAUUUGUUAAUGGAAUGUUAACGCUGUUGGAGGAGGCAGGAAAUUCCGAGUUAGCGCUCCCCUGUGCGCGCCGCCUACUUUGCGUGCACGCGUUGGAAGCAGGCUGUCACAGUGCACAGAAUGCAGGCAGAAGUUCUGUUCUCUUUGAAGCAAGGAGCUGCCAAAAUGUUCGUGUCGGGCUUUUUUCCUAUUAUUUCCUUUCCUAUUGGGCAACCAACAGCACACAGUUCAUUGGGGUGCACGUGCCUGGAGCCGGCACGCUGUGUGCAGGGGGUGGUGGAACUCACUGCUGAUUUAGAGUGCUUCAGCAUCUCGUUAUGUCCAUUAAUGAAGCUGCUGGCAAUGAAGCAGGCUUUGGUUUGGUUUUUUUUUGUUUUUUUUUUUUCCUCGUUUGGUUUGUGUUUCAAAAAGGCAUAAUUUCUGCAAUUUUUCUCUGUUCUUCCCCCGCCCCCCAUACAGAAAUUGCUUUAGACAGGAAGAAUUUUCUAAAUUGAGUUAGACUUGAAUCAAAUAACUGAAGACCUAUUUUUAAAAAGCACUGUGGUACUCCGCAUUCUUACCAAAAUUCUUGUAUUCCCACUUGUUUUUCAGUAAACUUUCAUCGUUCUGUUUUAA